UGAGGAAUAUUGGUCAAUGGACGCAAGUCUGAACCAGCCAAGUAGCGUGCAGGAUGACGGCCCUAUGGGUUGUAAACUGCUUUUAUAUGGGGAUAAAGUGGGGAACGUGUUCCCUUUUGCAUGUACCAUAUGAAUAAGGACCGUCUAAUUCCGUGCCAGCAGCCGCGGUAAUACGGAAGGUUCGGGCGUUAUCCGGAUUUAUUGGGUUUAAAGGGAGCGUAGGCCGUUUGGUAAGCGUGUUGUGAAAUGUAGGAGCUCAACUUCUAGAUUGCAGCGCGAACUGUCAGACUUGAGUGCGCACAACGUAGGCGGAAUUCAUGGUGUAGCGGUGAAAUGCUUAGAUAUCAUGAAGAACUCCGAUUGCGAAGGCAGCUUACGGGAGCGCAACUGACGCUGAAGCUCGAAGGUGCGGGUAUCGAACAGG
Molecule: ribosomal RNA, 424 nt
Filed under: Verrucomicrobiota bacterium
Lineage: Bacteria; Pseudomonadati; Verrucomicrobiota
Description: Verrucomicrobia bacterium partial 16S ribosomal RNA
Rfam family: Bacterial small subunit ribosomal RNA
Source: RNAcentral